UUAAAAACCAAUAGAAAAUAAAUACAUGGAGCCAUUGGCAAAUUUCAGCAACCGCUAGAGGAAAAAAUAUGAAUGGAGGGCGCUGACUGUCUCGGGGGGGAAUAAGUGAAGGCAUAAACGUGGAACAGUUUACUCCUUACCUGCCAGCAUUGGGUUGGACAAGAGAGUCACUCUGGCUGGUUCCAGGUUACCUUGGUCACAACUCUUUUGGCGGCCAUUGGGAUUUGUUUCCUCACAUGGGUCCAACCUGCCAGCACCUCAACCUUCCAUUCUUCAGGCUGAUCUGUUGGCUGUCAUGUUUGAGAUGCCUUUAGGCCUCCUGAAAUAGACUCUGAAGAUGGUCCUGCAAGAUGGAGCAUCAGCUGCACCUGAUACCAAAUGGAGACUGGUUCAGUUAUUCACUCCCUCAUAUUUGCUUGCACUAUUUUCCUGCCCCUCAU
This is a long non-coding RNA of Panthera uncia (snow leopard), 440 nucleotides long. RefSeq lists it as uncharacterized. NCBI's taxonomy places the organism in Eukaryota, Metazoa, Chordata, Mammalia, Carnivora, Felidae. The record is from RefSeq and is a predicted model, not a curated record. The transcript is spliced from 3 exons.